This 433-nucleotide ribosomal RNA is filed under the name uncultured bacterium. RNAcentral describes it as "bacterial SSU rRNA". It matches the Rfam family "Bacterial small subunit ribosomal RNA", at positions 29 to 507 of the family's 1533-position model. The record is from RNAcentral.
AACGAACGCUGGCGGCAGGCCUAACACACGCAAGUCGAGCGAGGUAGCAAUACCUAGCGGCGGACGGGUGAGUAACGCGUGGGAACGUACCCUUUGCUACGGAAUAGCCCCGGGAAACUGGGAGUAAUACCGUAUGUGCCCUUCGGGGGAAAGAUUUAUCGGCAAAGGAUCGGCCCGCGUUGGAUUAGGUAGUUGGUGGGGUAAUGGCCUACCAAGCCGACGAUCCAUAGCUGGUUUGAGAGGAUGAUCAGCCACACUGGGACUGAGACACGGCCCAGACUCCUACGGGAGGCAGCAGUGGGGAAUCUUAGACAAUGGGCGCAAGCCUGAUCUAGCCAUGCCGCGUGAGUGAUGAAGGCCUUAGGGUUGUAAAGCUCUUUCAGAUGGGAAGAUUAUGACGGUACCAUCAGAAGAAGCCCCGGCUAACUCCGUG